UUCUGGGGUCUCUGAUUCUAGGAAUUGAAGUUGCCCUCAAAUUAUGAAGUUCUUCUUCGGAAAGUGUUCGAUGAUUGUACUAAGAGAGUUUGGCUGCAUAAAAGAACGGGUGGUUUUUGUUUGUCCAUUGCUUCAAAAGGGUUAGCAAUCACCAGGAUAGGUGAUUGAAGAUAUUGGAAUCAUAUCCCAACUGAAGAAUCUAGUUUAAGGUGAGUGGAAGCAUGAAGGCAAGCAGAUGUAGAAGCUGUCCAGGAAGCCAGACGUAAGAUAAAGCUUAAGAGAUAAAGCAGCACAACAAGCAUUAGGCCAUUGUGACUGAACAAAUAUGAGGUAAUGUUCUGCCUUACCAAAACAAUGGUUAAGGUUUUUGUAUAGAUAUUAUACGCUAGAUUUGAUUUACAGAUCUGGAUAACUACAAUAUAGAUGUUUAAAUUUAAACUACAAGAUCAACAUAAACAAAACU
This is a long non-coding RNA of Quercus lobata, 463 nucleotides long. RefSeq lists it as uncharacterized. The transcript is spliced from 3 exons. Lineage: Eukaryota; Viridiplantae; Streptophyta; Magnoliopsida; Fagales; Fagaceae. The record is from RefSeq and is a predicted model, not a curated record.